CGCCUGUUUAUCAAAAACAUCGCCUCUUGUAAACUAAAAAUAAGAGGUCCCGCCUGCCCAGUGACAAUUAGUUAAACGGCCGCGGUAUUUUGACCGUGCAAAGGUAGCGCAAUCACUUGUCUUUUAAAUGAAGACCCGUAUGAAUGGCACAACGAGGGCCUAACUGUCUCCUUUUUCAAGUCAAUGAAAUUGAUCUCCCCGUGCAGAAGCGGGGAUAAGACCAUAAGACGAGAAGACCCUAUGGAGCUUUAGACACCAAAGCAGACCUUGUUAAAUACCCCAGACUAAAGGACCAAACCAAAAGAACCCUGCCAACAUGUCUUUGGUUGGGGCGACCGCGGGGAAUACAAAACCCCCAUGUGGAACGGGAGGACCCCUCCUACAACCAAGAGCCACAGCUCUAAGCAAUAGAAUUUCUAACCUAAAGAUCCGGCAAAGCCGAUCAACGAACCGAGUUACCCUAGGGAUAACAGCGCAAUCCCCUUCUAGAGUCCAUAUCGACAAGAGGGUUUACGACCUCGAUGUUGGAUCAGGACAUCCUAAUGGUGCAGCCGCUAUUAAGGGUUCGUUUGUUCAACGAUUAAAGUCCUACGUGAUCUGAGUUCAGAC
This 609-nucleotide ribosomal RNA is filed under the name Channa melasoma (black snakehead). Its description in RNAcentral is "partial 16S ribosomal RNA". It matches the Rfam family "Bacterial large subunit ribosomal RNA", at positions 1797 to 2616 of the family's 2925-position model. The record is from RNAcentral. Lineage: Eukaryota; Metazoa; Chordata; Actinopteri; Anabantiformes; Channidae.